Aphis gossypii (cotton aphid) is the source of this 1872-nucleotide long non-coding RNA. RefSeq lists it as uncharacterized. Lineage: Eukaryota; Metazoa; Arthropoda; Insecta; Hemiptera; Aphididae. The record is from RefSeq and is a predicted model, not a curated record. The transcript is spliced from 3 exons.
GAAAAAUAUCGUCGGCGGACGUUUUAUUUACGUUUGUGUGUACAAAAUGUUUUAGGACUUAAUUUUUCACUACUAAAAUGGAAACAUAUGUUUUACAUGCUAUAUAUAAUUGAAUAACUCAAUGUACAGUACAAUAAAUCGUUUGUACAUAAUUCUCAUCAUCGUCGUAUAUAAUAGCCCAUAAAUAUAAAUUUAAUAUAAUAAUUGCUCGGUUACGGUCUAAACGCUUAAAUAUAUCAUAUAAUAGUAUACGAUAAUAUGCCUAUUGUCACAUGAAUCAUAUCCUGAAUGGACACAACCUUUUAAUUUUUUUUUUUAUCGUCCUAUAUUAAACGUGUCACACGGAAUCUCUAGAGUUUUUUUUAUCCGCGAAAAAAAUAUUUACACAAUACCUGUAGCUCGUCUUGAGAGAAGAAAUAAAAACCAUCCGAAUCGCGGGUGGUCUAUAUAUUAUAAAUGGUAUAAAGAACAUAAAUUGUAUAUAAUAUCGAAAAUAUGUGACCCGAUUUUUACGAUUAUAGAAAUUAUUUAUUGUAAUACAUACACACGCACCAUUCGAUUUGUAUUAUGUUGUUAUUUUUUAUAAAAAAACAUCGAAUUUUUUUAUAGUUAGUCUUUAAAAUAAAAAACAUUUCGGGUCGGGUAAAAAUUGCACUUGGCGUAGUCGAGACUCAACCUUCCAGCGUGUCGGACAAUCGCAUCGGAGGACACCGUCAGACGGACGAUAUAAUAUUGUGUAUACUUUUGUGAAACGUAUUCGAUAAAAUGAAAACCUUUGCGAAAGGGCUUGAAUUUCUAGUGUGAAGCUGUCUCCGGAAAAUCGACAUCUAUGUGUACAUCAAUUAGGCGUAUGUCUAUUACUUCCGACACGUAAAUACCAUCGAUAACAGAAAACAUUUUUAAGUGGUUUUUCCAGGUCGUCUGCCCCGGCCGGAACAACUGAAGCAGCAGCCACAGGCGCUCCGACCAAGCCCAGCUCGCCGCGGAUAUUAUAAUCGGAUACCAAUCGCUAUCACACACAAGGGUUGCAAAUGAUGCGAUGGCGACGGGGAAUGGAAAUCAAAAAGGAAGCGAGACAGUGGAAAUCGUGGAAAAUUUCGCGAACGCCAUAACAUAAUAAUAUUUUAAUAUAUUUAUUAUGAUUAAUAUCGUGGUGGUUACGAGCUGCAGCGACAUCCGUCGACGACCGUACACGGGAAAACCAUUAGACGAAAUGACUGCAAGCGACGCCGGAGGACCCGUCCGAGGCUUCCAUCCACAAUAAUUUGUAUGAAUGCGGACGAGCGGUCGCACGAGAGUGCAUAUAAUAUUAUAUACAGUAAAAAUAAUAAUAUUCACAAUUUUUUAUGCACCUACCACCUAUAUACCUAUAUGAUAGGCGCGCACACGUCCUGAACGGAGAUAGAUAGCUAGUGUAAGUUGUAUUGCAGGUAACCAUACAUAAUAUACAAUAUUAUAAUAAUAUUAUAAUGUCGAAAUGCAGGUAAUCCCGGUAUGUAUAUUGGGACCGGUCCAAAAUCCAAUUAGUGCGACCGCUGCAGGAACGGGCGUUGAAAAAUCGACUGCCGUUCGAUCGUACGAUUGUGAGUCGAGUGUACACUCGGUUGGAGCAGCAACUUAUGUUAUAGCUGCAACCUCGGUCGCCAUCGUGGCCUAAGAUGACGUGCGUGAAGUAAAUUUCCGUCGAAUGCUGCAGCAAUAAUUGUGCUUGUGCAUUAUUUUUUUUAAUUCGUUUCGCCCGAGGACCGAUUCACAAGACUCGAAGGAUUAUCAAUCAUAUUGUUAUUAUUUUUAUUAGAAAUAAUAAUUAUGCUGAAAUAAAAGUGGAAAAAAUUAUCGAUUUAUAAUUUACUAACUAAAGUUUUGAACUAU